UACUUCGACAUUUGAGGUAGGGGUGUCGCUUUAAAGGAGAGGAGCCAGUAGUAAAAAUCAAUAGCCGUGUAGGAACUGCCAGCAUCGCUAACGUCAAGCUGCAGUUCCGGGCGGUUGCUUGAGAGGGAAGGAACUGUAAUAGGUGUUGACUGAAAUCCCUUGUCUAAUAUAUUUUUAUCAGCUGCAACGCUUGAAGGACCAUCAGCAUGUAGAUAAGUUAAUGAAGAUCACCUCGAACAAAUACGGAGUGGGAAUUGAAGAACCUGAGUAAACCGAAACAUAUGAUGGAAGUUUAGUGCAGACAAGGAGAAUCGUUAUCUGGCAGGAUGCACUGCCAAAUGCCUGAAGAGGAUAUCAGCAUAAUUUUCCAAGAUGAAAACAGGUUAAAAACAGAAGAAUCUGGUAGACAGAAGUUUAUGAUGGGACUUUGUGCAGACAUGACAGACGUUUUUUUUUUCUUUGGGAAGCGGGGCAGAAACUUCACGGAGCGUACUGCACACAAUUCAGAGACUCACAGAAAAUGUAACAUAAGUGCCAUAAAUAAAUAAAUAUAAGCAUUAGACUGAAUAAAUUUUUCAAACAGAGCAUACUUUCUGGUACAUUAUACUUUUGAGAGUGAUAUUUAUUGAGAGAUUCAAUUCUGAUAAUGCUUGCUAGUGCCAUUAAAUAAAUACAGAUUGUGUCAUAAUUAAUAGCAAACACUGACAUGGGUGAAAGUAGGUUAUAAGAGUAACAAAAAUGCACCACUGACUUCAGUCUGAAGUAUUGUUCAAAAUUGGAGAUGAGUGACAUAUAUGAAAAGUAAAUUGUAAAAAACAAGUGAUUUGUAAAAUACAGCUGGAAAUUCAAGAGUAAAUGUAUGCUGUGAUAUCAGUCUCAAUAAGUAUCAGAGAGAAAAUAUUGAACUUGAGGCAAGAAAGACAGACAGUAUGAAACAAACAAAUUAAACAGAACAUAAAGUCAGGAAAAUCUAAAUGUGAGAAAGGGACACAUUCAUCUUUGCUGUUUUAGGGAUGUAUUUCAAAUGGUUAUGAAGUGGAGCAGUUGGUGAAAUUCCAGUACACAUGUUAGAGAUGGGAUGAUGAAUGUAUCAUUUUAGACAAUGGGGCUUAUUUUUCUCUCAACAUGAUAGAUCUACAGUAUUAUUCUGUGUAUGAUACCUAUAAAAGGAGCAAAGUAAAAUGUGAUACUAAAGGACAUUGAUUGAUAUAGAAUCAUGACACUGUUUGUCAGAGGUAAUCGUCAAUAUUAAGUCCUUCUCAGUGUACAAAAAUUUAUAUGUCCCAAAAUCAUCUCUGUGCUGAACAUGAAUAAAUAGUUUCUUAUAUUGAA
Schistocerca cancellata (South American locust) is the source of this 1332-nucleotide long non-coding RNA. RefSeq lists it as uncharacterized. The record is from RefSeq and is a predicted model, not a curated record. The transcript is spliced from 3 exons. Lineage: Eukaryota; Metazoa; Arthropoda; Insecta; Orthoptera; Acrididae.